This 465-nucleotide ribosomal RNA is filed under the name uncultured Klebsiella sp. RNAcentral describes it as "bacterial SSU rRNA". It matches the Rfam family "Bacterial small subunit ribosomal RNA", at positions 338 to 795 of the family's 1533-position model. Lineage: Bacteria; Pseudomonadati; Pseudomonadota; Gammaproteobacteria; Enterobacterales; Enterobacteriaceae. The record is from RNAcentral.
CCUACGGGUGGCUGCAGUGGGGAAUAUUGCACAAUGGGCGCAAGCCUGAUGCAGCCAUGCCGCGUGUGUGAAGAAGGCCUUCGGGUUGUAAAGCACUUUCAGCGGGGGGGAAGGCGUUAAGGUUAAUAACCUUGGCGAUUGACGUUACCCGCAGAAGAAGCACCGGCUAACUCCGUGCCAGCAGCCGCGGUAAUACGGAGGGUGCAAGCGUUAAUCGGAAUUACUGGGCGUAAAGCGCACGCAGGCGGUCUGUCAAGUCGGAUGUGAAAUCCCCGGGCUCAACCUGGGAACUACAUUCGAAACUGGCAGGCUAGAGUCUUGUAGAGGGGGGUAGAAUUCCAGGUGGAGCGGUGAAAUGCGUAGAGAUCUGGAGGAAUACCGGUGGCGAAGGCGGCCACCUGGACAAAGACUGACGCUCAGGUGCGAAAGCGUGGGGAGCAAACAGGAUUAGAUACCCCAGUAGUC